Molecule: RNA transcript, 998 nt
Organism: Pyrus x bretschneideri (Chinese white pear)
Lineage: Eukaryota; Viridiplantae; Streptophyta; Magnoliopsida; Rosales; Rosaceae
Exons: 3
Source: RefSeq, a predicted model, not a curated record
UAAACUGCCAAGUUUGUUACUUUGGGCUCUUUUUCUCUCGUCAAGGUUUUAGAAGCUUCUUGGGGGAAUUUUUGAAGUGUACUCGUUUCUUUUACAAUAUUCUGCGUGUUACCUUUGUCCUGCGUUUUCUUGGUCCAUGCUCAUGGUUUUUUUAAUAGAAAAUCUAACGAAAUAUAUCCUUCAGAACUUUUUCUGUUUUCUCAGGUGAACACUAAGACUUGUGACAUUGUUGCAACAGGCAUACAAUUUGGAUUUCUGGGUUGCACGAGUACUGUUUCUACCUUCAUUGCUGAGUUCAAUGAGAUGAGAGAGAGCAAAUAUCCUCGGAGAGCAUACGCAUACGCCAUGGCUACGAUAUGCACCUCGUUUGGUUUGGGGUUCAUGAUAUAUUGUGUACCUGUUUGAACAAAGGGAUACAAGUAGUUGCAUGCUCAGGCCAUUGUUUUGAAGUCUAAUCUGUGGCUAUACCUUGAGAUUUUAUUCACCCUCACUGGCUUCAAUCUGACCGAAGGACAGGGCACCCUUCUGCCUCUUGAGUGUGUCACAGAAUCUUGCGGGACAUACUUACACGAAAUAUUUUUCUUGUAUCCGUCUCUGCCCUCAGGCGUUGUGACAGAUGCAUGGGGGUAUGCACCUGGUUUCAUGUUAGUUUCUGUCAUCUCGCAGAAGUAUCUCCAGAUCGGGCUGCAACCAAUGCUAGCUUGGACACCGCCAAGUUCUUAUUGUACAACAGGUUAGUUCUUUCUUGAUGGGGUGGUUGGGAACCGGUUACUUAGGAAGCCUUACAUCUUUCAACGGUUCGAACCAGAAAUGCUUGAACCAGAAAAUGCUUGAACUCAGUGUUGAAGGCCUUUGGGUGUUUGAUCUGCUCUGUUUUUUAAUAGGGACUUCCCAAGAGGUCACCCAUUCUAGUACUACUCUUACCCAAACUCGCUUAACUUCGGAGUUCUGAUGGCAUUUGGUGUAUAUGAGUUGGUAUGAUUGCAUUCAUUAGUUUA